UGGGGAAUUUUGGACAAUGGGCGAAAGCCUGAUCCAGCAAUGCCGCGUGUGUGAAGAAGGCCUUCGGGUUGUAAAGCACUUUUGUCCGGAAAGAAAUCCUUGGCUCUAAUACGGUCGGGGGAUGACGGUACCGGAAGAAUAAGCACCGGCUAACUACGUGCCAGCAGCCGCGGUAAUACGUAGGGUGCAAGCGUUAAUCGGAAUUACUGGGCGUAAAGCGUGCGCAGGCGGUUUGCUAAGACCGAUGUGAAAUCCCCGGGCUCAACCUGGGAACUGCAUUGGUGACUGGCAGGCUAGAGUAUGGCAGAGGGGGGUAGAAUUCCACGUGUAGCAGUGAAAUGCGUAGAGAUGUGGAGGAAUACCGAUGGCGAAGGCAGCCCCCUGGGCCAAUACUGACGCUCAUGCACGAAAGCGUGGGGAGCAAACAGGAUUAGAUACCCUGGUAGUCCACGCCCUAAACGAUGUCAACUAGUUGUUGGGGAUUCAUUUCCUUAGUAACGUAGCUAACGCGUGAAGCUGACCGCCUGGGGAGUACGGUCGCAAGAUUAAAACUUAAAUGAAUUGACGGGGUCAUAGCUGUUCCU
This 584-nucleotide ribosomal RNA is filed under the name uncultured bacterium. RNAcentral's name for it is "partial 16S ribosomal RNA". It matches the Rfam family "Bacterial small subunit ribosomal RNA", at positions 355 to 937 of the family's 1533-position model. The record is from RNAcentral.